Molecule: ribosomal RNA, 428 nt
Filed under: uncultured bacterium
Lineage: Bacteria
Description: bacterial SSU rRNA
Rfam family: Bacterial small subunit ribosomal RNA
Source: RNAcentral
UAGGGAAUUUUCCACAAUGGGGGCAACCCUGAUGGAGCAAUGCCGCGUGAGAGAAGAAGGCCUUCGGGUUGUAAAUCUCUGUUAUAAGGGAAGAAAGGUGUAGAGAGGGAAUGCUCUAUAUAAGACACUACCUUAUGAGAAAGCCACGGCUAACUACGUGCCAGCAGCCGCGGUAAUACGUAGGUGGCAAGCGUUAUUCGGAAUUAUUGGGCGUAAAGGGUGCGCAGGCGGUAAUCAAAGAUUGUGGUUAAAGAAUGGGGCUCAACCCCAUAAAGCCAUGAUAACUAGAUAACUAGAGUACAGAAGAGGAAAGUGGAAUUCCAUGUGUAGCGGUGAAAUGCGUAGAUAUAUGGAGGAACACCAGUGGCGAAGGCGACUUUCUGGUCAUGUACUGACGCUGAGGCACGAAAGCGUGGGGAGCAAAUAGG